GACGAACGCUGGCGGCGUGCUUAACACAUGCAAGUCGAACGGUGAAGCGCCUUCCUUUUUGGUGGGUGUGGAUGAGUGGCGAACGGGUGAGUAACACGUGAGUAACCUGCCCCCUUCUUCUGGAUAACCGCAUGAAAGUGUGGCUAAUACGGGAUAUUCUGGGUCUGUCGCAUGAUGGGUCUGGGAAAGAUAUUGUUUCGGUGGGGGAUGGGCUCGCGGCCUAUCAGCUUGUUGGUGGGGUGAUGGCCUACCAAGGCGGUGACGGGUAGCCGGCCUGAGAGGAGGAUGGGCCGCAAUGGGGGUGAGGAACGGCGCAGAAUCCUACGGGAGGCGGCAGGGGGGGAUAUUGGAGAAGGGGGGGCAGACGGCUCCAGCCGUGCCGCGGGGGGGGAGAAGGCGGCCGUGUUGUUGAGACCUUUUGUCGGGAGAGAAAAGGAGCAGCUUGGUAUGUGGGUGGUUUGACGGUACCUAAAGAAUAAGCACCGGCUAACUUCGUG
RNAcentral lists this ribosomal RNA (497 nucleotides) under uncultured bacterium. Its description in RNAcentral is "partial 16S ribosomal RNA". It matches the Rfam family "Bacterial small subunit ribosomal RNA", at positions 28 to 507 of the family's 1533-position model. The record is from RNAcentral.